AUGAGUAGCGUUAAAGGGGGUGAAAAGCCCCCUCGCCGUAAGCGCAAGGUUUUCUACGCAACGUUCAUCGGCGUAGAGUGAGUCGGCCCCUAAGGCGAGGCAGAGAUGCGUAGCUGAUGGGAAACAGGUCAAUAUUCCUGUACCGAUGUGUAGUGCGAUGUGGGGACGGAUCUUAAUAGGUCAUCCGGGUGUUGGAUAUCCCGGUUUAGUUGGAAGUAGGCGUGCGUUAGGCAAAUCCGGCGCACAUAUACCGAGGCCAAUGAUCGAGCCAGCUUGCUGGUGAAGUGACUGAACGAGGUUCCAGGAAAAGCCACUAAGCUUCAGCUACACACGACCGUACCGCAAACCGACACUGGUGCGCGAGAUGAGUAUUCUAAGGCGCUUGAGAGAACUCAGGAGAAGGAACUCGGCAAAUUGACACCGUAACUUCGGAAGAAGGUGUGCCCUAUUAGUGUGAAGUGAACAACGGAGCAUGAAUGGGUUGCAAAAAAAUCGGUGGCUGCGACUGUUUAUUAAAAACACAGCACUCUGCAAACACGAAAGUGGACGUAUAGGGUGUGACGCCUGCCCGGUGCUGGAAGAUUAAAUGAUGGGGUGCAAGCUCUUGAUUGAAGUCCCAGUAAACGGCGGCCGUAACUAUAACGGUCCUAAGGUAGCGAAAUUCCUUGUCGGGUAAGUUCCGACCUGCACGAAUGGCGUAACGAUGGCCACACUGUCUCCUCCUGAGACUCAGCGAAGUUGAAAUGUUUGUGAUGAUGCAAUCUCCCCGCGGAAAGACGGAAAGACCCCAUGAACCUUUACUGUAGCUUUGUAUUGGACUUUGUACAGAUCUGUGUAGGAUAGGUGGGAGGCUUUGAAGCAGGGUCGCUAGAUCUUGUGGAGCCAACGUUGAAAUACCACCCUGGUGUGUUUGAGGUUCUAACCUAGGUCCAUUAUCUGGAUCGGGGACAGUGCAUGGUAGCAGUUUGACUGGGGCGGUCUCCUCCCAAAGCGUAACGGAGGAGUUCGAAGGUACGCUAGUUACGGUCGGACAUCGUGACGAUAGUGCAAUGGCAUAAGCGUGCUUAACUGCGAGACUGACAAGUCGAGCAGAUGCGAAAGCAGGACAUAGUGAUCCGGUGGUUCUGUAUGGAAGGGCCAUCGCUCAACGGAUAAAAGGUACUCUGGGGAUAACAGGCUGAUACCGCCCAAGAGUUCAUAUCGACGGCGGUGUUUGGCACCUCGAUGUCGGCUCAUCUCAUCCUGGGGCUGUAGCCGGUCCCAAGGGUAUGGCUGUUCGCCAUUUAAAGAGGUACGUGAGCUGGGUUUAAAACGUCGUGAGACAGUUUGGUCCCUAUCUUCCGUGGGCGCUGCAGAUUUGAGCAAGCCUGCUCCUAGUACGAGAGGACCGGAGUGGACACACCUCUGGUGUAUCGGUUGUCACGCCAGUGGCAUUGCCGAGUAGCUAAGUGUGGAAGAGAUAACCGCUGAAAGCAUCUAAGCGGGAAACUCGUUUCAAGAUGAGAUCUGCCGGGGCCUUGAGCCCCCUAAAGAGUCGUUCAAGACCAGGACGUUGAUAGGUCAGGUGUGGAAGCGCAGUAAUGCGUUAAGCUAACUGAUACUAAUUGCUCGUGCGGCUUGACCCU
RNAcentral lists this ribosomal RNA (1625 nucleotides) under metagenome. Its description in RNAcentral is "bacterial LSU rRNA". It matches the Rfam family "Bacterial large subunit ribosomal RNA", at positions 1302 to 2925 of the family's 2925-position model. The record is from RNAcentral.